Molecule: long non-coding RNA, 2856 nt
Organism: Monodelphis domestica (gray short-tailed opossum)
Lineage: Eukaryota; Metazoa; Chordata; Mammalia; Didelphimorphia; Didelphidae
Source: Ensembl
AUGGAUAGAGGACAACUGUUUAGAAUCUACUUUGCUUAUCCACAAAGCCACCAAGGUCUCUCAGCCAAAUUUCAGAAGCCCCCCUCAAGGGUCCUUCAGCUUGGGACAGAAGUUAAUAAUAUUAGUUCUCAGCUUCUUCUCCCUUCAGCCAGGUUUAGUCAGAAAAAUCCAAAGAGCCAAAGUCUCCUGGUCAGUCAACCCCCUGAGAGAGAAACAGCAUCAGAAGUCCCAGUUUCUCCCGUGGUCAGCUUCAACUGCCUCCUCCUCCUGCUCUCUCUCUCUCUCUCUCUCUCUCUCUUUCUCUCUCUCUCUCUCUCUCUCUCUCUCUCUCUCUCUCUCUCUCUCUCUCUCUCUCUCUCUCUCUCUCUCUCCCCCUACAAACGCAGUUAUAAAUCACAUGGUCUAAUGAAGCCUGCCCUCAGGCAAAACUGGAAAGUGAAGCCACUUUGUCUAUGGUGCUCCUUUUCUCUCCUCAACAGCAUACUAUUAUCUUUUCUUUAAGAUCCAUGAAACUCCCAGUAGCCUCAUUCUUCACCCUAUCUCCAACUCAUCAAAAUCUUCUCUCAGAAAAGGACUAGACCUCACUGUGACAAUGUCUAAAAUGAUUAACAUAUUAUCUAAUGAAGUGGUGCUAGCAUUUUUAAAGGAAGUAAAAAUUCAGCAAAAAGAAUGAAUCUCUAUAAGUUGAAUUUUAAGUUUCAGUGAGUAUGAACCAUGACUCAACAUGAGACAAUGAAAGAAAAUAGCUGGUAUGAUGGGACUGAUUGCUGGUUUUAGAGUCAAGGAGAGCUAAGCUUGGAUGCUCCCUCAUGUACUUACUAAUCGUAUGAUCCUAAACAAAUGACAAUCUCUCAUGUUUGGUUCCCUCAUUUGUAAAAUGAGAGUAAUAUUAAUACCUAUUUCAUGGUGUUGUGAGGAGGAUCAAAUGAGCCUAAAAGCAGUUAGCUAUUAUUAUCAUUAUUGUUCAUUGGAGUCAAUAGCAAAGAACAAAGAAAGGAGUGUAGGAUCUAUGGCUUCUAGGGAAUUGAUUGGCUCUAGGGUUUGUCUGUUCUACUCAAUUUACCCAACCAGUUGAGAGUAAUGGUAAUGCUUCAAAGCAUUGGAUGUAUGGAAUGAUUUUUCUUUUAAGUUUUAGAAUAGAGAGGUCACGUGUCUGGACCCAGGACCCAAAGAACGUGGUAGAUUCCCCUGCAUGAACUUGCAUUCAAAAGAUUAGGUAGUCAGAGAAGGUUCAAAAAGGUAUUCCUCAGGUUUUUAUUUCUGACAUCAUAGAGGUCACAAACCCCUAUCAGUGAACUUACAUUGAACAGUCAUCCAUUAGAAACAAUUAGCUCAAAGUGAAAGCAUUGAUUCAGAUAACAUAGUAAUGACAAUAGCUACAAAACAUCCCCUACAUAAACCUGGACCACACACCUUUCUUUUUUUGUUGUAGUUCUUUAUCUCCCUCUCCCCCCACCCCAUCCAGUAGCCAAGGUGUAAUUCCACUGGGUUUUACAUGUGUUAUUGAUCAAAACCUAUUUCCAUAUUAUUGAUGUUUGCACCAGAGUCUAUAUCCCCAAUCAUGUCCCCAUUGACCCAUGUGACCAAGACAUUUUUCUUCUGGGUUUCUGCUCCCACAGUUCUUCCUCUGAAUGUGGAUAGUGUUCUUUCUCAUAAGUCCCUCAGAAUUGUCCUGGAUCAUUGCAUUGCUGCUAAUAGAGAAGUCUAUUACAUUUGAUUGUACCACAGUGUAUCAGUCUUUGUGUAUAAUGUUCUCCUGGAUCUUCUCCUCUCACUCUGCAUCAAUUCCUGGAGGUUGUUCCAUUUCACAUGGAAUUCCUCCAGUUCAUUAUUCUUUUGAGCACAAUAGUAUUCCAUCACCAACAGAUACCACAAUUUGUUCAGCCAUUCCCCAAUUGAAGGGUAUCCCCUCAUUUUCCAAUUUUUUGCCACCACAAAGAGCGCAGCUAUGAAUAUUCUUGUACAAGUUUUUUUUUUUUCCCUUAUUAUCUCUUUGGGGUAUAAACCCAGCAGAGCUAUGGUUGGAUCAAAGAGCAAACAGUCUUUUAGCACCCUUUGGGCAUGACCACACACUUUCUACAACCAGCGCCAAUGGAAAGAAAAUACAGAGUACACACAGUGAUAGUCAUACAUGUAGGGAAUAUAUUUGGCCACACCCUUGCUACUGUCCCUCUUCUGCUUCUACUGCUAAUUUCCCUUGUUUCUUUUAAUUUUCCUAUUAAAAUCCCACCUUCUACAGAAAACCUUCUCCAACUCCUAAUCUCAGUAUCUUCCUUCUGUUCAUUAUUUCCUAUUUAUCCUUUAUUUAGCUUGCUUUAUAUUUGUUUUUGUUAUCUCCUCCCCCUCCCCUUAGACUGUGGGCUUCUUAAGAGAAGGGAUGGUCUUUUGCCUCUUUUUGUUUCUAUAGCGCUUCACAUGGUACCUGGCUCAUAGUGGAUACUCCAUAAAUGUUUAUUGAUUUAUUUAUUAUUGCAGGUACAUGGUUAUCAUUUCUUUGCUUUGAUGUCCUCAGGCUAGCCCUCUCCAGCUACAGAGCCUCUUUUGGUUGGGUCAUUCUGUUAGGAUACCUAGACCUGUUCCCCUCCAUAGAUCAACUCUCAACUACUAAGACUCAUUUCUUAUCUCUGGCAUCUGUGCAGAUGGCUCUUUUCUAUUCUUUCAGAGGCCAUGCUUUUUUGAAGCUGCUUCUUCCCCCCCAAUGGCUAGCAUUAUAUCUGUAAUCCUAAUCUUAUAGAGAUCACAAGCCUCUGUCAUCCAACAGAAAUUAUUACAUCAAAAGCAAAGACAUUUUUGUUCCCCUAACUCAAGCAGCUAAAUGGUACAGGGAAUAAAUCAGCAGACUUGGAAUUGGACUCA